RNAcentral lists this non-coding RNA (147 nucleotides) under Pan paniscus (pygmy chimpanzee). The record is from Rfam by way of RNAcentral. Lineage: Eukaryota; Metazoa; Chordata; Mammalia; Primates; Hominidae. RNAcentral also lists the same sequence under 1 other name.
GCUGGGCGUGGUGGUGCAUGCCUGUAAUCCCAGUUACUUGGGAGGCUGAGGCAGGAGAAUUGCUUGAACUCAGGAGGCAGAGGUUGCAGUGAGCUGAGAUCACGCCACUGCACUCCAGCCUGGUGACAGAGCAAGACUCUGCCUCAA